UACGGGGGGGGCAAGCGUUGUUCGGAAUUACUGGGCGUAAAGGGCGCGUAGGCGGUUGGAUAAGUCAGCUGUGAAAACCACGAGCUUAACUCGUGGCCUGCAGUUGAGACUGUCUGGCUUGAGUGUGGGAGAGGAGAGUGGAACUGCGAGUGUAGAGGUGAAAUUCGUAGAUAUUCGCAAGAACACCAGUGGCGAAGGCGGCUCACUGGCCCGAUACUGACGCUGAGGCACGAAAGCGUGGGGAGCAAACAGG
This 253-nucleotide ribosomal RNA is filed under the name uncultured bacterium. RNAcentral's name for it is "partial 16S ribosomal RNA". It matches the Rfam family "Bacterial small subunit ribosomal RNA", at positions 524 to 776 of the family's 1533-position model. The record is from RNAcentral.